AGAGCUUGCUUUUUAAGCUUAGUGGCGAACGGGUGAGUAACGCGUGGGUAACCUGCCUCAUACAGGGGGACAACAGUUAGAAAUGACUGCUAAUACCGCAUGACACUUUUGGGAGACAUCUCCUGGAAGCCAAAGCUUUAUGUGCUGAAAGAUGGCCUCGCGUCUGAUUAGCUAGUUGGUGAGGUAACGGCUCACCAAGGCGACGAUCAGUAGCCGGUCUGAGAGGAUGAACGGCCACAUUGGAACUGAGACACGGCCCAAACUCC
Molecule: ribosomal RNA, 266 nt
Filed under: uncultured Eubacteriales bacterium
Lineage: Bacteria; Bacillati; Bacillota; Clostridia; Eubacteriales
Description: uncultured Clostridiales bacterium partial 16S ribosomal RNA
Rfam family: Bacterial small subunit ribosomal RNA
Source: RNAcentral